UACGUAGGGGGCAAGCGUUUGUCCGGAAUCAUUGGGCGUAAAGAGCGCGUAGGCGGUCCGGUAAGUCCGCUCUGAAAGUCCGGGGGCUCAACCCCGGGAGGCGGGCGGAUACUGUCGGGCUAGAGUCCGGAAGAGGCGAGUGGAAUUCCUGGUGUAGCGGUGAAAUGCGCAGAUAUCAGGAAGAACACCCGUGGCGAAGGCGGCUCUCUGGGACGGUACUGACGCUGAGACGCGAAAGCGUGGGGAGCGAACAGG
Molecule: ribosomal RNA, 255 nt
Filed under: uncultured bacterium
Lineage: Bacteria
Description: partial 16S ribosomal RNA
Rfam family: Bacterial small subunit ribosomal RNA
Source: RNAcentral